GACAGACAGACAGGGUUACUGCUGGAGCCACACGCUGGUCCCUGUGUGUGGUUCCUCCUCUCUCUUCUGGAAGCUGUCUCCGACCUGGAGCCGCGGAUUGGUGUGAAUCGCGAGCGCAACGAUCAGCACAGAGCUGAGGUUGCAACCUUGGUUGGAACAACUAAGGGAAGGGCUGCAGCUGUGCGGCCUUCUUUCACUAAACCCCGCAGUACCCAGAUGUUCCUGGGGAAGAUUUAAAGGUCAAUGCAUAGUUUGUCAAGGCAUGGCAUUCAUCCUCAACUGAGUGACAAAGGGACUAGCAGGCAUCAGGUGACCGCAAGGACUUCCUUAAUGAAACUGAAGAGAGAAAACUGCAGCAUCAAAGUGGGAAAGAAAUGUUCCCCAGCCGGCCUCCAGAGCACCUCCGCCGGCCUCCAGCCGGCCUCCAGAGCGACUUCGCCUGGCCUCCAGAGCGACUUCGCCUGGCCUCCAGAGCGACUCCGGCCGCCCUGUCCGCCUCCAGGGCAGUCCUACCCGCUUCGCUGGCCCCGUCUUGCUGGCCUCCCCCGACUUCCUGCCCGGACUUCCCCUUCCAGUCUUGUUCUCUGGCCUCCUUUGCCCCGUAAAUCCUUCCUCUGGACCCCCUCCUCCCACCCUGCUAGUUUAAAAAAAAAAUUGGGACGUCUGGGAUCGGUCCCUUGAGAAGGGGGUUCUGUCACAGUCUUUGGUUUCCUGUUUUAUUUAGAAGUUUCACUCCCCCUUGUGUCACGUCUUGUUUUACUUCCUGUCCUUGUGUCUGUCUCCCCAUCUGUGUCUUGUUCCCCUCAUUAGUUUCUGUGUAUAUAUCCCUGUAUGUCUCAGUGUUCUUUGUGGGAUCGUUGCUCAGCCUGUUCGUGCCUACCCCGUGCCUACCCCGUGCUUACCCCGUGCCUACCACGUGACUACCCCGUUCCUACACCGUGCCUACACCGUGUCUACACCGUGUCUACACUGUGUCUACCUGGUUUGUCUGUUCACUAUUAUUUUGUUACUUUGUAUAAGUGUUUCAGCUUUGUUUUAUUAAAUCUCACUUUUUGUUGUGAAUCUUCUGCAUUUGGGUCCUCUUCUGUACCACACCGUGACAAUUAUAUUCUGCCAUGUCAUUAAGCUGGAUGCUGCUUGUUGUUCAGCUAGACCCUUGCAUUCAGCU
This is a long non-coding RNA of Cottoperca gobio, 1168 nucleotides long. RefSeq lists it as uncharacterized. Lineage: Eukaryota; Metazoa; Chordata; Actinopteri; Perciformes; Bovichtidae. The transcript has 4 exons. The record is from RefSeq and is a predicted model, not a curated record.